Molecule: transfer RNA, 84 nt
Filed under: Caldifarciminota bacterium
Lineage: Bacteria; Pseudomonadati; Caldifarciminota
Description: candidate division WOR-3 bacterium tRNA-Leu
Rfam family: tRNA
About the family: Transfer RNA (tRNA) molecules are approximately 80 nucleotides in length. Their secondary structure includes four short double-helical elements and three loops (D, anti-codon, and T loops).
Source: RNAcentral
GCCGGGAUGGCGGAACUGGCAGACGCGCUAGGUUCAGGACCUAGUUCCCGUAAGGGUGUAGGGGUUCAACUCCCCUUCCCGGCA